CUUUGGGAUAACCCUCGGAAACGGGGGCUAAUACCGGAUGUGACCUUCCACCGCAUGGUGGGGGGUGGAAAGUUUUUUCGGCUGAAGAUGGGCUCGCGGCCUAUCAGCUUGUUGGUGGGGUGAUGGCCUACCAAGGCGGUGACGGGUAGCCGGCCUGAGAGGGCGACCGGCCACACUGGGACUGAGACACGGCCCGGACUCCUACGGGAGGCAGCAGUGGGGAAUAUUGCACAAUGGGCGCAAGCCUGAUGCAGCGACGCCGCGUGGGGGAUGACGGCCUUCGGGUUGUAAACCUCUUUCGGCAGGGACGAAGCCGCAAGGUGGCGGUACCUGUAGAAGAAGCGCCGGCCAACUACGUGCCAGCAGCCGCGGUAAGACGUAGGGCGCGAGCGUUGUCCGGAUUUAUUGGGCGUAAAGAGCUCGUAGGCGGCUUGUUGCGUCGUCCGUGAAAACUUGCGGCUUAACUGCAAGCUUGCGGUCGAUACGGGCAGGCUGGAGUUCGGCAGGGGAGACUGGAAUUCCUGGUGUAGCGGUGAAAUGCGCAGAUAUCAGGAGGAACACCGGUGGCGAAGGCGGGUCUCUGGGCUGAUACUGACGCUGAGGAGCGAAAGCGUGGGGAGCGAACAGGAUUAGAUACCCUGGUAGUCCACGCUGUAAACGUUGGGCGC
This 668-nucleotide ribosomal RNA is filed under the name uncultured Micromonosporaceae bacterium. RNAcentral describes it as "bacterial SSU rRNA". It matches the Rfam family "Bacterial small subunit ribosomal RNA", at positions 136 to 816 of the family's 1533-position model. Lineage: Bacteria; Bacillati; Actinomycetota; Actinomycetes; Micromonosporales; Micromonosporaceae. The record is from RNAcentral.